GACGAACGCUGGCGGCGUGCUUAACACAUGCAAGUCGAACGGAAAGGCCCUGCUUUUGUGGGGUGCUCGAGUGGCGAACGGGUGAGUAACACGUGAGUAACCUGCCCUUGACUUUGGGAUAACUUCAGGAAACUGGGGCUAAUACCGGAUAGGAGCUCCUGCUGCAUGGUGGUGGUUGGAAAGUUUCGGCGGUUGGGGAUGGACUCGCGGCUUAUCAGCUUGUUGGUGGGGUAGUGGCUUACCAAGGCUUUGACGGGUAGCCGGCCUGAGAGGGUGACCGGCCACAUUGGGACUGAGAUACGGCCCAGACUCAUACGGGAGGCAGCAGUGGGGAAUAUUGCACAAUGGGCGGAAGCCUGAUGCAGCAACGCCGCGUGCGGGAUGACGGCCUUCGGGUUGUAAACCGCUUUCGCCUGUGACGAAGCGUGAGUGACGGUAAUGGGUAAAGAAGCACCGGCUAACUACGUG
Molecule: ribosomal RNA, 468 nt
Filed under: uncultured bacterium
Lineage: Bacteria
Description: partial 16S ribosomal RNA
Rfam family: Bacterial small subunit ribosomal RNA
Source: RNAcentral